UGAAUACGAGAUGCUACGGCGUCGAAGCAGUCUAUGUCAUACUUCCAAGAAAAGCUUGCACUGUCAUAAACAAAUAAUGCCUGUACCAUAACCGACACAGGUGGGUAGGUAGAGUAUACUAAGGGGCGCGAGAUAACUCUCUCUAAGGAACUCGGCAAAAUGACUCCGUAACUUCGGGAGAAGGAGUGCCUUAUUUUAUAAGGUUGCAAUAACAAGAUCCAAGCAACUGUUUACAAAAAACACAGGUCUCCGCUAAGUCGUAAGACGAUGUAUGGGGGCUGACGCCUGCCCAGUGCCAGAAGGUUAAAGAAGUUGGUUAGCAUCCGCGAAGCUGAUAACUGAAGCCCUGGUGAACGGCGGCCGUAACAAUAACGGUCCUAAGGUAGCGAAAUUCCUUGUCGGGUAAGUUCCGACCCGCACGAAAGGCGUAAUGAUUUGGAUACUGUCUCAGAGAGGGGCUCGGUGAAAUAGACUUGUCUGUGAAGAUGCGGACUACCUGCACCAGGACAGAAAGACCCUAUGAAGCUUUACUGUAACUUGAAAUUGAAAUUGGACUUUACUUGCGCAGUAUAGGUGGUAGGCGUUGAGAAUAUUCUUGCAGGAAUGUUGGAGCCAUCAGUGAGAUACCACUCUUGUAAUGUUAGAUUUCUAACUUUGUAUCAUUAUCUGGUCAAAGGACAGUUUCAGGCGGGCAGUUUGACUGGGGCGGUCGCCUCCCAAACGGUAACGGAGGCGCACAAAGGUUUCCUCUGAACGGGUAGAAAUCGUAUCUAGAGUGUAAAGGCAUAAGGAAGCUUGACUGUGAGACCUACAAGUCGAGCAGGGACGAAAGUCGGUCUUAGUGAUCUGACGGUGCUGAGUGGAAAGGCCGUCACUCAACGGAUAAAAGUUACUCUAAGGAUAACAGGCUGAUCUCCCCCAAGAGUUCACAUCGACGGGGAGGUUUGGCACCUCGAUGUCGGCUCAUCGCAUCCUGGGGCGGUAGUACGUCCCAAGGGUUGGGCUGUUCGCCCAUGAAAGCGGUACGCGAGCUGGGUUCAGAACGUCGUGAGACAGUUCGGUCCAUAUCCGGUGUAGGCGUUAGAAUAUUGAGAGGAGCCUUCUUUAGUACGAGAGGACCGAGAAGGACAUACCUCUGGUGUACCAGUUAUCGUGCCAACGGUAAACGCUGGGUAGCUAUGUAUGGAGUGGAUAACCGCUGAAAGCAUCUAAGUGGGAAGCCCACCUCAAGAUAAG
Molecule: ribosomal RNA, 1236 nt
Filed under: metagenome
Description: bacterial LSU rRNA
Rfam family: Bacterial large subunit ribosomal RNA
Source: RNAcentral